CUGCAGCCCGAGUGGUGAUCGAUUUUAUUGAGCCCAAAGCGUCCGUAGCCGGACUAGUAAACCCUUGGGUAAAUUGGGCAGCUUAACUGUCCAAAUUCCGAGGGGACUGCUAGUCUUGGGACCGGGAGAGGUCAGAGGUACUCAAGGGGUAGGGGCUAAAUCCUGUAAUCCUUUGGGGACCACCAGUGGCGAAGGCGUCUGACUAGAACGGAUCCGACGGUAAGGGACGAAACCCUGGGGCGCGAACUGGAUUAGAUACCCGAGUAGUCC
This 270-nucleotide ribosomal RNA is filed under the name uncultured archaeon. RNAcentral describes it as "partial 16S ribosomal RNA". It matches the Rfam family "Archaeal small subunit ribosomal RNA", at positions 477 to 747 of the family's 1478-position model. The record is from RNAcentral.